UUUAAUCAUGCUAUUAAUUAAUUCCAAACAGAUAAUGCAUAAGAUUACUCGACUUCAAAAAAAAAAAAAAAAAGAUUACUCGACUUCUGGAAUGACACAAGGCAUGGAAUAGUAAGCUAUGUUACGGUGAGACUCUCUUCUUCCUGGAUCUUGUGGAUCUGUUAUAUCAGAAGGUCAGUAGCAGUGCUAUUUCUAUUGGAGAAUUUUCAUUUAAACAGAUUAACAUAUUUGAAAAAUUUCUUUCAAUAAUGACACAAAACAUAAAUAUAAAAAUCUGUAUUUAUUAUAGGUAGCAUAAAACAUUUUUUUGCGUCAAUUAUUGUUGUGAUUUAGGCUGAAUAAUGCCAGCUAUUUUGCUACUGUGCUGAAGUCCUCUUUUUUGAGCCUACAAUGAACCUGUAAUACUUAUGGAAAGAGUUACCAUAGCAACCUAUAUUGAUGUCACAAGCUCAGGCUUCUGACUUCAUUGCAUAAUGCAGUAGCAACUGGAUUUGCAGCAGAAACACCCUGCUAAAGAACAAGUAUCUUGGUUCACAGCAAAGAGGACAAAGGAAAACAGCAAGUUAUAGGGAGUUGAAUGCUGGAUUGUCAUCAGAGCCUGUGUGGCACUGCCCACAAGUCCUUGGUGGGUUCUGGAGCUGUCCAAGGUUCCAAAGUUCCAGGGAGGGAGCCUGCAGCAGUCAGAGGGCUCUGGGCUCUGCUUCAACUCAGUACUGUGAGGAGCAUAAGGACAUCAUGACAUCUGGACUAACAUCCUACAGAAUUGUAGAGAAGGUCAAAUAUAAAACACAAGCAACUAUAUAUGAAAAGUGUUAUGUUUUUAUCUCCCCAAUGCUUGGAUUUUUAUUUAACAUUACAAAUAUUUUCUGAGGGAUGCGUGGGUGGCUCAGUGGUUGAGCAUCUGCCUUCAGCUCAGAGCAUGAUCCUGUGAUCCCAGGAACAAGUCCCACAUCAGGCUCCCUGCAUAGAGCCUGCUUCUCCCUCUGCCUCUGCCUCUCUCUGUGUGUCUCAUAAAUAAAUAAAUAAAUAAAAUAUUAAAAAAAAAAAAACAAAUAUUUUCUGAACAGAUCUACCAACCUAGAAAAUGUUAGUGAUCAAGAACUCUUUAAAGAAUACUGACUGUUUCAUUUAAUAUACCAAAAACUAAAAACACAAUCAUC
Molecule: long non-coding RNA, 1160 nt
Filed under: Canis lupus familiaris (dog)
Lineage: Eukaryota; Metazoa; Chordata; Mammalia; Carnivora; Canidae
Description: lncRNA (ENSCAFG00000052012.1, ENSCAFG00845013934.1)
Source: RNAcentral